RNAcentral lists this ribosomal RNA (491 nucleotides) under uncultured bacterium. RNAcentral describes it as "partial 16S ribosomal RNA". It matches the Rfam family "Bacterial small subunit ribosomal RNA", at positions 29 to 506 of the family's 1533-position model. The record is from RNAcentral.
AGUGAACGCUGGCGGUAGGCCUAACACAUGCAAGUCGAACGGCAGCACAGUAAGAGCUUGCUCUUACGGGUGGCGAGUGGCGGACGGGUGAGGAAUACAUCGGAAUCUACUUUUUCGUGGGGGAUAACGUAGGGAAACUUACGCUAAUACCGCAUACGACCUACGGGUGAAAGCAGGGGAUCUUCGGACCUUGCGCGAUUGAAUGAGCCGAUGUCGGAUUAGCUAGUUGGCGGGGUAAAGGCCCACCAAGGCGACGCUCCGUAGCUGGUCUGAGAGGAGGAUCAGCCACACUGGAACUGAGACACGGUCCAGACUCCUACGGGAGGCAGCAGUGGGGAAUAUUGGACAAUGGGCGCAAGCCUGAUCCAGCCAUACCGCGUGGGUGAAGAAGGCCUUCGGGUUGUAAAGCCCUUUUGUUGGGAAAGAAAAGCAGCAGGUUAAUACCCCGCUGUUCUGACGGUACCCAAAGAAUAAGCACCGGCCAACUUCGU